GCACCUUUUGAAUCUAAAUAACAUGGCAUCAAAAACAAAAAUUCUAAAGAAUCACAUAGCGGAUUUUGCACAGGCAGCGACGUUUUAAAUUAUUUUUUUUUUAA
Molecule: long non-coding RNA, 104 nt
Organism: Maniola jurtina (meadow brown)
Lineage: Eukaryota; Metazoa; Arthropoda; Insecta; Lepidoptera; Nymphalidae
Exons: 3
Source: RefSeq, a predicted model, not a curated record